AUGCCAACUCUAUGAGUGUGCCUAUUAUCAAC
RNAcentral lists this non-coding RNA (32 nucleotides) under Rattus norvegicus (Norway rat). The record is from RNAcentral. Lineage: Eukaryota; Metazoa; Chordata; Mammalia; Rodentia; Muridae.